This 291-nucleotide ribosomal RNA is filed under the name uncultured prokaryote. RNAcentral describes it as "partial 16S ribosomal RNA". It matches the Rfam family "Bacterial small subunit ribosomal RNA", at positions 505 to 796 of the family's 1533-position model. The record is from RNAcentral.
GUGCCAGCCGCCGCGGUAAUACGUAGGUGGCAAGCGUUGUCCGGAUUUAUUGGGCGUAAAGCGAGCGCAGGCGCUUUCUUAAGUCUGAUGUGAAAGCCCCCGGGUCAACCGGGGAGGGUCAUUGGAAACUGGGAGACUUGUGUGCAGAAGAGGAGAGUGUAUUCCAUGUGUAGCGGAGAAAUGCGUAGAGAUGUGGAGGAACACCAGUGGCGAAGGCGACUCUCUGGUCUGUAACUGACGCUGAGGAGCGAAAGCGUGGGGAGCGAACAGGAUUAGAUACCCCGGUAGUCC